Molecule: ribosomal RNA, 166 nt
Filed under: Cladium californicum
Lineage: Eukaryota; Viridiplantae; Streptophyta; Magnoliopsida; Poales; Cyperaceae
Description: 5.8S ribosomal RNA
Rfam family: 5.8S ribosomal RNA
About the family: 5.8S ribosomal RNA (5.8S rRNA) is a component of the large subunit of the eukaryotic ribosome.
Source: RNAcentral
AUGAUGACUCUCGGCAACGGAUAUCUCGGCUCUCGCAUCGAUGAAGAACGUAGCGAAAUGCGAUACGUGGUGUGAAUUGCAGAAUCCCGCGAACCAUCGAGUUUUUGAACGCAAGUUGCGCCCGAGGGACCCGCCCGAGGGCACGCCUGCCUCAUGGGCGUUAGGA